CACCAAGCCUGUAGCAGGGACCCUCAAGGGACAGUCCUCCAGACCAUAACAAUGAAGGAUGAGGAGAGGGCUGAGCAUGUGCUGUGGCCAUCUUAUCCACUGACAAUCAAGAAAGCCAAGCAGAGGUUCCCUGGGGGAAGACGGAGUUAGAGAGAGAAAGGUGGAUUAAAAGAACACAAAGAAAUUUGGGUGAGU
Chinchilla lanigera (long-tailed chinchilla) is the source of this 195-nucleotide long non-coding RNA. RefSeq lists it as uncharacterized. NCBI's taxonomy places the organism in Eukaryota, Metazoa, Chordata, Mammalia, Rodentia, Chinchillidae. The record is from RefSeq and is a predicted model, not a curated record. The transcript has 3 exons.